GGAAGGAUCAUUACCGAGUGCCGGGGCCUAGCCCCGCUCUCCCAUCCCGUGGCGUUAUAAUAAAGGUCAAUGUUGCCUCCGGCACCUCGCCGGGCGGCAGUCUCAAGACUCAGUGGUAGACUUUGUUUCUGAUCGUAUUGAGAAAUCAAACGAAAACUUUCAACAACGGAUCUCUUGGUUCUGGCAUCGAUGAAGAACGCAGCGAAAUGCGAUAAGUAAUGUGAAUUGCAGAAUUCAGUGAAUCAUCGAAUCUUUGAACGCACAUUGCGCCCUUUGGUAUUCCGAGGGGCAUGCCUGUUCGAGCGUCAUUUAGGACCUCAAGCCUCGCUUGGUCUUGGGCGCGGUCUGACCGACCCGCCUGUAACUGUCAGCGGCAACCGUUUGGCCCUUAGGCGUAGCAACACUAUUCGUCUUUAGGGGCUCUCGGGCGGCCGUCUCAAGACUCUGGCCCUCUGGGCCACCAAAGUUUGACCUCGGAUCAGGUAGGGAUACCCGCUGAACUUAAGCAUAUCAAUAAGCGGAGGAAAAGAAACCAACAGGGAUUGCCUCAGUAACGGCGAGUGAAGCGGCAACAGCUCAAAUUUGAAAUCUGGCGCAAGCCCGAAUUGUAAUUUGCAGAGGGAGCCUCGGAGUCGUCCCCGGCCUAAGUCCCUUGGAACAGGGCGUCGCAGAGGGUGAGAGUCCCGUACGCGGCCGGGUGCCUUCUCCGUGUGAGGCCCCUUCGACGAGUCGAGUUGUUUGGGAAUGCAGCUCUAAAUGGGAGGUAAAUUUCUUCUAAAGCUAAAUACCGGCCAGAGACCGAUAGCGCACAAGUAGAGUGAUCGAAAGAUGAAAAGCACUUUGGAAAGAGAGUUAAAAAGUACGUGAAAUUGUUGAAAGGGAAGCGUUUGCAGCCAGACUUGCCGGCAGUUGCUCAACCGGUCUUUGCCCGGUGCACUCUUCUGCCGGUAGGCCAGCAUCAGUUCGGGCGGUCGGAUAAAGGCUUGGGGAACGUGGCUCCUCGGAGUGUUAUAGCCCCUCGCACAAUACGGCCUGUCCGGACUGAGGUCAGCGAUCCAUGGAUGCUGGCGUAAUGGCUGCCAACGGCCCGUCUUGAAACACGGACCAAGGAGUCUAACAUCUAUGCGAGUGUUUGGGUGUCAAGCCCGGGCGCGCAAUGAAAGUGAACGGAGGUGGGAGCAUUCGUGCGCACCAUCGACCGAUCCUGAUGUCUUCGGAAGGAUUUGAGUAAGAGCAUAGCUGUUGGGACCCGAAAGAUGGUGAACUAUGCCUGAAUAGGGUGAAGCCAGAGGAAACUCUGGUGGAGGCUCGCAGCGGUUCUGACGUGCAAAUCGAUCGUCAAAUUUGGGUAUAGGGGCGAAAGACUAAUCGAACCAUCUAGUAGCUGGUUCCUGC
RNAcentral lists this unclassified non-coding RNA (1395 nucleotides) under uncultured Capnodiales. Its description in RNAcentral is "sequence contains 18S rRNA gene, ITS1, 5.8S rRNA gene, ITS2, 28S rRNA gene". The stretch from base 469 to 1395 matches the Rfam family "Eukaryotic large subunit ribosomal RNA", at positions 1 to 961 of the family's 3401-position model. Lineage: Eukaryota; Fungi; Ascomycota; Dothideomycetes; Capnodiales. The record is from RNAcentral.